This 132-nucleotide ribosomal RNA is filed under the name Triticum aestivum (bread wheat). Its description in RNAcentral is "partial small subunit ribosomal RNA". The record is from RNAcentral. Lineage: Eukaryota; Viridiplantae; Streptophyta; Magnoliopsida; Poales; Poaceae.
CAAUUUCAAGUAUUCAGUUUCACCAAUAAGAUAUGGAGACUUGCUUCACAUUUGGAAUUACACAAAAAAGAUUUUCCAUUGGAAAGAGGUCUACAAAGACUUUUGGGAAAACGUCGACGUUUGCUGGCUUAA